RNAcentral lists this ribosomal RNA (388 nucleotides) under uncultured bacterium. RNAcentral's name for it is "bacterial SSU rRNA". It matches the Rfam family "Bacterial small subunit ribosomal RNA", at positions 29 to 417 of the family's 1533-position model. The record is from RNAcentral.
AUUGAACGCUGGCGGCAUGCCUUACACAUGCAAGUCGAACGGCAGCACGGGAGCAAUCCUGGUGGCGAGUGGCGAACGGGUGAGUAAUAUAUCGGAACGUGCCCAGUAGUGGGGGAUAGCCCGGCGAAAGCCGGAUUAAUACCGCAUACGACCUGUGGGUGAAAGCGGGGGAUCGCAAGACCUCGCGCUAUUGGAGCGGCCGAUAUCAGAUUAGCUUGUUGGUGGGGUAAAAGCCCACCAAGGCGACGAUCUGUAGCUGGUCUGAGAGGACGACCAGCCACACUGGGACUGAGACACGGCCCAGACUCCUACGGGAGGCAGCAGUGGGGAAUUUUGGACAAUGGGGCGCAAGCCUGAUCCAGCCAUGCCGCGUGUGAGAAGAAGGCCU